CUGCCUGGUAGUGGGGGAUAACGUCCGGAAACGGACGCUAAUACCGCAUACGUCCUACGGGAGAAAGCAGGGGACCUUCGGGCCUUGCGCUAUCAGAUGAGCCUAGGUCGGAUUAGCUAGUUGGUGGGGUAAUGGCUCACCAAGGCGACGAUCCGUAACUGGUCUGAGAGGAUGAUCAGUCACACUGGAACUGAGACACGGUCCAGACUCCUACGGGAGGCAGCAGUGGGGAAUAUUGGACAAUGGGCGAAAGCCUGAUCCAGCCAUGCCGCGUGUGUGAAGAAGGUCUUCGGAUUGUAAAGCACUUUAAGUUGGGAGGAAGGGCAGUAAAUUAAUACUUUGCUGUUUUGACGUUACCGACAGAAUAAGCACCGGCUAACUCUGUGCCAGCAGCCGCGGUAAUACAGAGGGUGCAAGCGUUAAUCGGAAUUACUGGGCGUAAAGCGCGCGUAGGUGGUUCGUUAAGUUGGAUGUGAAAUCCCCGGGCUCAACCUGGGAACUGCAUUCAAAACUGACGAGCUAGAGUAUGGUAGAGGGUGGUGGAAUUUCCUGUGUAGCGGUGAAAUGCGUAGAUAUAGGAAGGAACACCAGUGGCGAAGGCGACCACCUGGACUGAUACUGACACUGA
RNAcentral lists this ribosomal RNA (628 nucleotides) under uncultured bacterium. Its description in RNAcentral is "bacterial SSU rRNA". It matches the Rfam family "Bacterial small subunit ribosomal RNA", at positions 126 to 749 of the family's 1533-position model. The record is from RNAcentral.